This 497-nucleotide ribosomal RNA is filed under the name uncultured bacterium. Its description in RNAcentral is "partial 16S ribosomal RNA". It matches the Rfam family "Bacterial small subunit ribosomal RNA", at positions 28 to 507 of the family's 1533-position model. The record is from RNAcentral.
GAUGAACGCUGGCGGCGUGCCUAAUACAUGCAAGUCGAGCGAACAGACGAGGAGCUUGCUCCUCUGACGUUAGCGGCGGACGGGUGAGUAACACGUGGAUAACCUACCUAUAAGACUGGGAUAACUUCGGGAAACCGGAGCUAAUACCGGAUAAUAUAUUGAACCGCAUGGUUCAAUAGUGAAAGACGGUUUUGCUGUCACUUAUAGAUGGAUCCGCGCCGCAUUAGCUAGUUGGUAAGGUAACGGCUUACCAAGGCAACGAUGCGUAGCCGACCUGAGAGGGUGAUCGGCCACACUGGAACUGAGACACGGUCCAGACUCCUACGGGAGGCAGCAGUAGGGAAUCUUCCGCAAUGGGCGAAAGCCUGACAGAGCAACGCCGCGUGAGUGAUGAAGGUCUUCGGAUCGUAAAACUCUGUUAUUAGGGAAGAACAAAUGUGUAAGUAACUAUGUACGUCUUGACGGUACCUAAUCAGAAAGCCACGGCUAACUACGUG